UUUGCAGAGCAGUGAGAAGAGGCAGGUCCCCAGCCCUCCUGCCCUCUCUGUGGCUGGGAGGUGGCUGCACCUGAGCUGUCAGGUUCCCAUCUGGGGUGCGGGAGAAGCCGUGCUCAGGGAGCGUGGGCUGGAAUCAUUUCUGCUCCCAGGAAUCUGCAUCACCUGGCUGUAGCAGAGCCCAGGGAGGAACACUCCUGGCGUCCAGGAGUGUGUCCAAGAGCUGGGCACUGCUGCUUUCUGAGCUCAGUUCAGCUGAUUGAACAGGACCGACUGCCACGAAGCGGCUGAAACACGCAGCUGCCUUUUGGAGAGUAUUUCAGGACUGCUUCUGAAGCCUGUUUGUGUCUGCUACUUAUCCUCAGCAGCUGAUUUGCAACUUCACUGCUCUGCAAGCAACCACUGAUUAUCCUGUGAUUCUUCUUCUCAUGAUUAACAUUCUAAGCCUUAUUUUAAAGAGCAGAAUAGAGCAAUCAUCACAAAGGAAUCGCUGUGGUAAUCCUGAGAAAAUGCAUAUGUGUGACUGGGUCACCAUGGAAAUGGAAGAGAAUCAAAAUAGUGCUCCUGGAAAAUUUGGAAAGAGAUAAACUGUUAAAAGACUUAUCUAGAUCUCUGUUCUAGGAAAUAUUUUCUAGAAAAUCAAUCCAGAAUAUCUAUGUGGAAGUUUUUCACUAUUUAAUCUCCCUUUCUCAGAGUGUGCUCUAAUUAAAGAUUUGCCUUCUUUUCCUCUA
This is a long non-coding RNA of Pseudopodoces humilis (Tibetan ground-tit), 728 nucleotides long. RefSeq lists it as uncharacterized. The record is from RefSeq and is a predicted model, not a curated record. Lineage: Eukaryota; Metazoa; Chordata; Aves; Passeriformes; Paridae.